AGUGAACGCUGGCGGUAGGCCUAACACAUGCAAGUCGAACGGCAGCACAGUAAGAGCUUGCUCUUACGGGUGGCGAGUGGCGGACGGGUGAGGAAUACAUCGGAAUCUACUUUUUCGUGGGGGAUAACGUAGGGAAACUUACGCUAAUACCGCAUACGGCCUACGGGUGAAAGCAGGGGAUCUUCGGACCUUGCGCGAUUGAAUGAGCCGAUGUCGGAUUAGCUAGUUGGCGGGGUAAAGGCCCACCAAGGCGACGAUCCGUAGCUGGUCCGAGAGGAUGAUCAGCCACACUGGAACUGAGACACGGUCCAGACUCCUACGGGAGGCAGCAGUGGGGAAUAUUGGACAAUGGGCGCAAGCCUGAUCCAGCCAUACCGCGUGGGUGAAGAAGGCCUUCGGGUUGUAAAGCCCUUUUGUUGGGAAAGAAAAGCAGCAGGUUAAUACCCCGCUGUUCUGACGGUACCCAAAGAAUAAGCACCGGCUAACUUCGUG
This 492-nucleotide ribosomal RNA is filed under the name uncultured bacterium. RNAcentral describes it as "partial 16S ribosomal RNA". It matches the Rfam family "Bacterial small subunit ribosomal RNA", at positions 29 to 507 of the family's 1533-position model. The record is from RNAcentral.